RNAcentral lists this ribosomal RNA (429 nucleotides) under Bacteroidota bacterium. RNAcentral's name for it is "Bacteroidetes bacterium partial 16S ribosomal RNA". It matches the Rfam family "Bacterial small subunit ribosomal RNA", at positions 355 to 776 of the family's 1533-position model. Lineage: Bacteria; Pseudomonadati; Bacteroidota. The record is from RNAcentral.
UAGGGAAUCUUCCGCAAUGGACGCAAGUCUGACGGAGCAACGCCGCGUGAGUGAAGAAGGAUUUCGGUUCGUAAAACUCUGUUGUUAGAGAAGAACAGCGCAUAGAGUAACUGUUAUGCGUGUGACGGUAUCUAACCAGAAAGCCACGGCUAACUACGUGCCAGCAGCCGCGGUAAUACGUAGGUGGCAAGCGUUGUCCGGAUUUAUUGGGCGUAAAGCGAGCGCAGGCGGUCAAUUAAGUCUGAUGUGAAAGCCCCCGGCUCAACCGGGGAGGGUCAUUGGAAACUGGUUGACUUGAGUGCAGAAGAGGAGAGUGGAAUUCCAUUUGUAGCGGUGAAAUGCGUAGAUAUAUGGAGGAACACCAGUGGCGAAGGCGACUCUCUGGUCUGUAACUGACGCUGAGGCUCGAAAGCGUGGGUAGCAAACAGG